This 285-nucleotide unclassified non-coding RNA is filed under the name Hevea brasiliensis (rubber tree). The record is from RNAcentral. Lineage: Eukaryota; Viridiplantae; Streptophyta; Magnoliopsida; Malpighiales; Euphorbiaceae.
GCAUGAUCUGGUGCGAGAUUUGACCCUUGAGAUGGCAAAAGAUGAGAAAUUUUGCAGCUUUGAUCAUGAACAUAAGCAAGAAUUGACCCAAUGUUCUCGAUGGUUGGGUUUCACAAGUGAAAUGGAUGCACAAUCCUUGAGCAAAACUCCAAAGCUCAGAGCUUUGCUGCGGACAACUAACAAUCUAACUCAACCCCAUAAGAAUUUGGGUUCACUCUGUUCACUAAGGGCACUUGACUUGUCUAAUAAUAAGCUAGACAAGGUUGCUUUUAAGAAUCUCCUGAG